Nylanderia fulva is the source of this 560-nucleotide long non-coding RNA. RefSeq lists it as uncharacterized. The record is from RefSeq and is a predicted model, not a curated record. NCBI's taxonomy places the organism in Eukaryota, Metazoa, Arthropoda, Insecta, Hymenoptera, Formicidae.
AGUAUAUACUCAGUGCUUUCACGUGUUCUUUAUAUGCAGCUACAAUUAACGUAUAAUAAUCGUGUGUUGUCGAUUGCUUUAUGAUUCAGAAACAUGCCGUCAUAAUAUGCAAGUUAUUUUGCAUAAAAUAAACUCUAUUGAAAUGCAUUUAAUAGAUUUCUAUAGUAAUGAACCGCAGCGAAAUAAUGAAAAUAUAUUACCACAAUUUCCGAUUGUUACAGUUCAAGAAUUAGAAAAUUUUAAUAAAUUGUUAAGAAAAGAUGCAAUAGCUCGUGCACAAUAUAAAAAAAUAAUUAAAAAUAUUGGUGGUAAAGAUGUUAAAAAACAUGUUCGACAAGCUUUGACAUUAAUAUUAAAUAAUGAAUUGUCAUGUAAAUUAUCAUGAACAGGACAGAAAAAAACUAUUAAAUUUCAGAGACUAUGAUCAAUUCCGGGCGUAAUUGUACAAUCUUUGACGUACAAGAUACAAUUCAAAAAUGGCUACAACAUGCAAGUGAUCGAGUUCGUUAUAUAGAAAAAAACACGCUCAAAUAUAAUUUUAAAAUUUUGGCAUAAAAAUU